This 334-nucleotide RNase P RNA is filed under the name human gut metagenome. RNAcentral's name for it is "Bacterial RNase P class A". It matches the Rfam family "Bacterial RNase P class A". From Rfam's summary of the family: Ribonuclease P (RNase P) is a ubiquitous endoribonuclease, found in archaea, bacteria and eukarya as well as chloroplasts and mitochondria. Its best characterised activity is the generation of mature 5'-ends of tRNAs by cleaving the 5'-leader elements of precursor-tRNAs. The record is from RNAcentral.
AAAUGGGCAGUCGCGGAUGUGAUUUUUCACAGACGAGGAAAGUCCGGGCAUCAUACGGCAGGGUAACUGCUAACGGCAGCCGAGGGAAACCUUAGGGAAAGUGCAACAGAGAUAUACCGCCGAUUUUUCGGUAAGGGUGGAAAGGCGAGGUAAGAGCUCACCGGGGCAAUGGAGACAUUGCUGCCAUGUAAACCCUACCCGAUGCAACACCGACAGGGGAGUCAGCCGGACAGCGAUUUUUCGCAACCCCGAGGGGUGGCUUGAGCCAUUUGGCAACAAAUGGCGUAGAUAGAUGAUUGCCUUAAACGACAGAACCCGGCUUACAGUUUUACCU